Molecule: ribosomal RNA, 490 nt
Filed under: uncultured bacterium
Lineage: Bacteria
Description: partial 16S ribosomal RNA
Rfam family: Bacterial small subunit ribosomal RNA
Source: RNAcentral
AUUGAACGCUGGCGGCAGGCCUAACACAUGCAAGUCGAACGGUAACAGAAAGCAGCUUGCUGCUUUGCUGACGAGUGGCGGACGGGUGAGUAAUGUCUGGGAAACUGCCUGAUGGAGGGGGAUAACUACUGGAAACGGUAGCUAAUACCGCAUAACGUCGCAAGACCAAAGAGGGGGACCUUCGGGCCUCUUGCCAUCGGAUGUGCCCAGAUGGGAUUAGCUAGUAGGUGGGGUAAAGGCUCACCUAGGCGACGAUCCCUAGCUGGUCUGAGAGGAUGACCAGCCACACUGGAACUGAGACACGGUCCAGACUCCUACGGGAGGCAGCAGUGGGGAAUAUUGCACAAUGGGCGCAAGCCUGAUGCAGCCAUGCCGCGUGUAUGAAGAAGGCCUUCGGGUUGUAAAGUACUUUCAGCGGGGAGGAAGGGAGUAAAGUUAAUACCUUUGCUCAUUGACGGUACCCGCAGAAGAAGCACCGGCUAACUCCGUG